Molecule: non-coding RNA, 26 nt
Filed under: Mus musculus (house mouse)
Lineage: Eukaryota; Metazoa; Chordata; Mammalia; Rodentia; Muridae
Source: RNAcentral
CUGCCAUAGCCUGCACUAAAGCUCAU